This 261-nucleotide ribosomal RNA is filed under the name Triticum aestivum (bread wheat). RNAcentral describes it as "partial small subunit ribosomal RNA". Lineage: Eukaryota; Viridiplantae; Streptophyta; Magnoliopsida; Poales; Poaceae. The record is from RNAcentral.
GGAGACUUCAACGAAAUCAUGUACCUCCAUGAGAAGAUAGGAGGACCAGAGAGACCACAAUCAGCCAUGGAGAAAUUCAGAUUCGCACUAGCUGACUGCAGCCUCCGAGACUUGGGCUACACAGGGGAUAAGUUUACCUGGCCAAAGAAAUAUAUCAAAGAAAGAUUAGACAGAGCAGUGGGUAACCAAAGAUGGUGUCAAAGCUUUCCCGCAUAUAAAAUAGUGAAUGGAGACCCGAGGCACUCAGAUCACCGUCCGGUC